This 253-nucleotide ribosomal RNA is filed under the name uncultured bacterium. RNAcentral's name for it is "partial 16S ribosomal RNA". It matches the Rfam family "Bacterial small subunit ribosomal RNA", at positions 524 to 776 of the family's 1533-position model. The record is from RNAcentral.
UACGUAGGGUGCGAGCGUUGUUCGGAAUUACUGGGCGUAAAGGGCGCGUAGGCGGCCUUCUAAGUCGAACGUGAAAUCCCCGGGCUCAACCCGGGAACUGCGUCCAAUACUGGGAGGCUUGAAUCCGGGAGAGGGAUGUGGAAUUCCAGGUGUAGCGGUGAAAUGCGUAGAUAUCUGGAGGAACACCGGUGGCGAAGGCGGCAUCCUGGACCGGUAUUGACGCUGAGGCGCGAAAGCCAGGGGAGCAAACGGG